CAACACAAAGAAUGACGGAGGAGAGAAAAUGCUAUGCAGAAGUGAUAGUCAAGAUGAAGAUGUGGGAGAGGAGCAGCCCCCAGUAUAUAUUCAGUGUGUCCUCUGAAGUAACAACCAUCCCAUCUGGCUGAGAAGUGAUGGACACGGCUCCUUAACCACACUGUACCCUCUGUUCUUGGCACCUCUCUACCAGAAAGAUAUCGACAAAUUGGAUGGAAUUCAGAGAACAGUAAGAAAAAUGAUUAAAGAGAUGGAGGCAGUGACUUAUGAGGAAAGAUGAAAAGGACUAAAUCUGUAUAGCUUGGCAAAGCAACAACUGAGGUAGCGUAUGAAAACUGUCUACAAGCAUUUGAAGAAUAUAAACACCAAGGGAAGAGAGGGAACUUUUUAGAAUGGUCUGGGGAAUAAGCAGAUUAAGAGGACAGAAUUGAAGAAAGGAGAGAGAUAUGCUAAGUUGGGG
This 460-nucleotide long non-coding RNA is filed under the name Pan troglodytes (chimpanzee). Its description in RNAcentral is "long non-coding RNA NONPTRT011531". Lineage: Eukaryota; Metazoa; Chordata; Mammalia; Primates; Hominidae. The record is from RNAcentral.